CUGAAGAAUCUUAGAGCAAGGAUAUAAUAUUCUGUUUGAGUUGUUUACUUUUGCAGGAAGCAAUCUUCCCUCCCACACGCCAAGCCUGCAGGGAAAGCCUGCUGAAUACAGACUAGGUUCAGGUCGACUAUACACUAGGGAGGAGAAGCAGGAGGGGGUGACCUCUCACUGAGACCAGAGCGGCUUGGAGGCAAGAGGAGCUCUGUAGCAGGUAAGAGGCAAAUGUCAGGUCAGUUCAUAAAGGAGCGGCAGAUCCAGUCAAAAAAGUCUCAACCAGCCAAAAAAGAAAUAGGCAAGAAAGUGGAGACUUCUGGGUGACCUGAGGCAGAUGCAGCUGGACUGAAGAAACGCCCAUCCAGGGUUUCCUUCCAGUAAACUGAGAGCUCCGAAAGAGUAUCUUCAGAGCACUGAAGGAGGUGCAGGAAGUGCAGAAAAUGCAGAAAACAAAGGAAAUGCAGUGGGGAGGGGCCUGGCUUCUGCACAUUGCAUUCACUGCUGUCUCCCCAAGGAAAGCUGUGAGAGCUGGACUGGAGAUUGGACGCAUCUGGAAGGAAAAGGAUUCUUCAGCACAAGGGGGAAUAACUCUCAAAACCGACAGGAAUGUAUGAUGGCUCUCUCCUUAAAGCCAGAAACAAAAGAAAGAUGACUGUUAUCAAUACUCUGUUCUUGAAAGUUCUCUAUCAAUCAGCUAAGAAAGUGAAAGAAGUGUGAUCGUGAAGAAGUAGGAAAAAGUACCAAGACUUGCUGACAGGUAAUUUAAUUGCCUACCUAGAAAAUUGAGAGAAGUAGAAAAACUAGAAGAGUUAAUAUAAAGUGGCUGGUUACAAAGUAAACAUUCAAAAAUCCAUAGUUGUUCUAGGAAUAACUAGAUAGAAAAUGUAAUAGACUCUAUCAACAGAUAGCAAUGCAAUUUAGAAAAUACAUAGGAGCAAAUUUAACAUGAAAUUGGCUGGGUAUUUUUAACAGUGGUAUGUUUUUUUACAGAGGGACAUAAAAAUCCACUUGAAUAAUUAAAGAGAUAUACAUAGGCAAUGGAACAGUUAUUGCCAAGAUAAUCAAUUCUCCCAAAACUAAUUUACAAAUUGAAUGUGAUUUUAAUGAAAACACAAGAUUAUUUUUUGAACUUGCGAAAUAGACCCUAAGUUCAUCUGAAAGAAUAAGUGCCCAAAGAGAGCCAAGAAAUUUUUGAGGAAACAGAAAUAAUAUCAGUGUGUCUGGAGGUGGUUCCUUCUGGUGGGUUUGUGGUCUUGCUGACUUCAAGAAUGAAGCCAUGGACCUUUGCGGUGAGUGUUACAGCUCUUAAAGGUGGCACGGACCCAAAGAGUGUGUAGCAGCAAGAUUUAUUGUGAAAAGCGAAAGAACAAAGCUUCCACAGCAUGGAAGGGGACCCGACCAGGUUGCAGCUGUUGGCUGGGGGUGGUCAGCUUUUCUUUCCUUAUGUGUCCCUGCCCAUGUCCUGCUGAUUGGUCCAUUUUACAGAGUGCUGAUUGGUCCAUUUUACAGAGUGCUGAUUGGUCCAUUUUACAGAGUGCUGAUUGGUCCAUUUUACAAACCUCUAGCUAGCUAUAGAGCACUGAUUGGUGCAUUUUUACAGAGCACUGAUUGGUGCAUUUUACAAACCUCUAGUGAGCUACAGAGCGCCAACUGCUGCGUUUUUACAGAGCACUGAUUGGUGCAUUUUACAAGCCUCUGGUAAGACAGAAAAGUUCUCCAAGUCCCCAUUCGACCCAGGAAGUCCAGCUGGCUUCACCUCUCACCAGUACUUGUGUUACAAAUACUGAUUCAAAGCUACAAUAAUUUGAUUAUGGUUCAGGAAUAGGCAGAUAAACAGAAAAGAAA
This 1839-nucleotide long non-coding RNA is filed under the name Homo sapiens (human). RNAcentral describes it as "HSALNT0223356". The record is from RNAcentral. Lineage: Eukaryota; Metazoa; Chordata; Mammalia; Primates; Hominidae.